GCGGGUGUCGUAUAAUGGUCAUUACCUUUGCUUCCCAAGCAAAAGACGACGGUUCGAUUCCGUUCACCCGCU
This 72-nucleotide transfer RNA is filed under the name Eoetvoesiella caeni. RNAcentral's name for it is "Pusillimonas sp. PB3-7B tRNA". It matches the Rfam family "tRNA". Rfam says of the family: Transfer RNA (tRNA) molecules are approximately 80 nucleotides in length. Lineage: Bacteria; Pseudomonadati; Pseudomonadota; Betaproteobacteria; Burkholderiales; Alcaligenaceae. The record is from Rfam by way of RNAcentral.